UAGGGAAUCUUCCGCAAUGGACGAAAGUCUGACGGAGCAACGCCGCGUGAGUGAUGAAGGCUUUCGGGUCGUAAAACUCUGUUGUUAGGGAAGAACAAGUACGAGAGUAACUGCUCGUACCUUGACGGUACCUAACCAGAAAGCCACGGCUAACUACGUGCCAGCAGCCGCGGUAAUACGUAGGUGGCAAGCGUUAUCCGGAAUUAUUGGGCGUAAAGCGCGCGCAGGCGGUUUCUUAAGUCUGAUGUGAAAGCCCACGGCUCAACCGUGGAGGGUCAUUGGAAACUGGGGAACUUGAGUGCAGAAGAGAAAAGCGGAAUUCCACGUGUAGCGGUGAAAUGCGUAGAGAUGUGGAGGAACACCAGUGGCGAAGGCGGCUUUUUGGUCUGUAACUGACGCUGAGGCGCGAAAGCGUGGGGAGCAAACAGG
Molecule: ribosomal RNA, 429 nt
Filed under: Bacillota bacterium
Lineage: Bacteria; Bacillati; Bacillota
Also listed under: 6 other names
Description: Firmicutes bacterium partial 16S ribosomal RNA
Rfam family: Bacterial small subunit ribosomal RNA
Source: RNAcentral